This is a non-coding RNA of Callithrix jacchus (white-tufted-ear marmoset), 3618 nucleotides long. The record is from RefSeq and is a predicted model, not a curated record. Lineage: Eukaryota; Metazoa; Chordata; Mammalia; Primates; Cebidae.
CUGUUACUGAAUAAAAAGAAUAACGGAAAGAGUCUUAUUCUUCCAACUGCAAGGAGGAAAAAACACGAGAUGGUAAGAAACUCCCCUCUGGAGAGAGGUCCUGGAAGCCCCUGCGGCAUCCGUCUGGGAGGAUGACGGACUGGGCAUGGCCCCAGCAGUGACGCUCAGCACCUGUGAACUGUGCGACUUUACUUCUUCCUUGGCACAGUGAGAGCUUGAGAGAGCGACCGCAUGAAGAAAAACAGUGCGUAACACACCAUGUGCCAUUUAGCCACUCCGAGUGGACGGUUCUGUGGUGAAAUAAAAUGUUUUUGAACAUUUGAAGCCUGAUGAAAAUCAAGAAAAACUAGACAACGUCUUAGGAAGAAUCUAGAAGUCCGUCUUCAGAGACCCAAGUACAAGUCAGAAGUUGGGAAUGUAAACCAAAAAGUAUGCGAAAUAAGUCUCAGUCAAUCUAGAAGUUUCGUCUUGCCAAGAAUAAGGAUGGGCCUGUGACCUAGUCUCGUGAGGUCCUAAGGACAUGUGUCCAAGGUGGUCAGGGCCCAGCCUGAUUUUAUGUGUUCUAGGGAAACAUGAGACUUCAGUCAAUCUAUGCAAGAUGUGCGUUGGUUUGUUCUGAAAAGGUGGGACAACUUGAAGAAGGGAAGGGGACUUCUAGGUCACAGGUAGAUGAGAGACAAAGGGGUGCAUUCCUUUGGGUUUCCGAUUAGCCUUUCACCAAAUAUGCAAUUUUCAAGAAUAGUCACUUAGUCUGGCUCAGUGAAACAAUACAGCAAAGGAGGCACUUGUCUCAUGUGAGCAGGGACUGUUGUGACAUUCCCUGGAAUAACGUCGUAGGAUGUUUAGCACCCUUGGCCUCUGCCCACUACAGCCAGUUGCACCCUCUCUCCCGUUAGGGCCACCAAAAUUGUCUCUAGGCAUUGCCAAAUGUUUCCAGAGCUGGAGGGAGGGCACACGCUCCCAGUGAAGAACCACCAGUGUCAGAUGAUCACGAAAGUCACAAAUGACAGUAAUAAAUGCUCUGUCGUCUUUCAUCCUUCUCCCACUGAGAGGCAAUGGGAUGACAAGAGGACACCGUCCAGAAUAGGAAUGAUGAGUUCGUCCCAGCUCUGUCCUUGCCGGUGAACCUCGAGCUCAUCGUGUCACCUCCUCAGGUCUCCAUUCCCUUAUUUUUAUAAUAAAGACAUAUCACUGUCAGCCAUUUACUGAAUGCCCGUUAUAUGCAAUAUGCAUGAGAGAGCCUUCCUAGGGGCGGCUCACAGUCAAGUAAAGCAGACAGACGUGAAGAAUAAUUGAAAGGAAAAGUUCUAGGUUGACAUGAGGGGUUCCCAUGCUGUGGCAGGGACUGUGGCAGAUGUGGGAACCCGUGGCUGACCUUGCACCCAGGUGGCUUGUGAACAUGUUUGCAUUCCAUGUGUACACUGCCACUGCAGGAGGCCAGGGCCAGCUUUCAGGAUUGGCACUGCCACCCGCCUUUGUGGGGCGGAGCUGCCAGUAACCCAGGCCUCCUCCCCGCACCCUCCCUCAGUAGAGAAGUCAUCCCAGCCUCUCAUCUUCUCAGUCCAUUUCACACCUUUUAGUCCCACGAGGCUACAACUGUGAGAAGGGCUCCUCAGUUACUCCGUGUAUCAACACAUAGUGGGUCAUCAAGACACCAUCCCCGUCCUACUGGGCUUUGACUGACAACUUUAAAAUGAUAAUUUAUGCCUGGGGAAAGUUCCAUAUUUCAAAACUCUCCUCUGUUUUGCCAAACGAGGUCAUUCCCUGAUCAACACAGGCCAAAGGUUCGCCCUGCAAGCAUUCCAAAGUCCUUCAACACCGUCAGGAAUGAGCAGUGCUCCAAGACUGAGAUAAAAGAGUUUCACUGCAAACCAUUUUUUCCCUUCUAAACAUAAAAAACAAAGACUAAUGUGUUCACUGCAGGCAAAGGCAAAAGUUGAAAAAGUGCGUUUUUAUAAUCAUUUCAUGGAAUGCAGCCAGAUUUUACAAGAGCCAUCCACUUCUCAGGUAAAUUCCUAACUCUUCAGUUUCCUAUGACCUGGUUUGUGGCUAGCCCAGACCUCAUGCUUUCCUUCAGCCUCUCCACCUUUAGCCCCUCCUACCACCCAGUGUGUCUUUGAGCAGGGGUUCCCAAUGCCCGGGGCACAGACCAGUACCCGUCUUUGGACUGCACAGCAGCAGGUGAGUAGCAGGCCAGCGAGCAUUACCACCUGAGCUGCGCCUCCUGUCAGUCAAUGAAUGGCUGAGACGUUCACAGGAGCUGGAACCCUACGGUGAACUGUGCAUGUGCGGGAUCCAGGCUCCUUAUGAGAAUCUAAUGCCUGAUGACCUGUCACUGUCUCCCGUCACCCUCAGGUGGAACUGUCUAGGUGCAGGAAAACAAGCUCAGGACUCCCACUGAUUCUACAUGAUAGUGAGUUGCAUAAUUAUUUCAUUAUAUAUUACAAUACUGUAAUAAUAGAAAUGAAGUGCACAAUACAUGUCAUGCGCUUGAAUCAUACCCAGGCUGUGGAAAAUUGUCUCCACAAAACCGGUCCUGGUGCCAAAAAGCCUGGGGACCUCUGCUUUUGAGGAAUAACCCAAACUCUUCCAGAAAACCUCACUUUCCCAUUUUUCUACUUAACUUACCUAAAAUUUUGUAAAUGGCCAAUUCUGUGUACAUGUCAUCCAGUUUAACUGAGCUGAAUCAAGCCAGCUGGGAUCAGCUAUGGUAAGCCUUCGAUGAGGAAUUUGUGUAUUUGUGUUGUAUAAGGAUUUCUAUCAUCCAUUCCAAAGGCUGCUAUAAAUUUGCAAGUCUGAAUUUUAUAUUUUAUGAAAUAAUUUAUACCUAACGAUGCUUCUUUCUUUUUUUUUUUUUGAGACAGAGUCUCACUCUGUCACUCAGGCUGGAAUGCAGUGGUGCCAUCUCAGCUCACUGCAGCCUUGACCUCCCUGCGCUCAAGUGAUCCUUCUUGGGGAGCUGGGAUUACAGCUGCGUACCACCAAGCCCAGUCAAUUUUUGUUUAUUUUUGUAGAAAUGGGUUUCAUCACAUUUCUCAGGCUGGUCUCAGACUCCUAGACUCAAGUCUCCCAAACUGCUGGAAUUACAGGCGUGAGCCACUGUGCCAGGCCUAAAAUGCUCCUUCAAUUACCAUUGGAAUAGCCCAGAUCCACUGAGCCUCCAGGGUUAAUGCCCUUUGCAGAGCAGAUUCCUUGCCUACCGCAAAGGCUGGGCAAUGCUGCAGCCCCUCGAGCUCCUCGGCAUGCCCCAGUAGCCAAGUUAGGAGGUCAAGAUGCAAAGGUGCCCGAUUCUCCCAUGUUCAGGUAACCAGUCUCUUUCUUACAAAAGUGGGUGUGACACGGGUGUCCUCCCUUCCACUCAGCAGAACAAAACCCAAGCCUGCUAGCUCUUUGCCCCAAGCUCUUUGCUAGCUCUUUGCCCCAGUGGGGUUCUGUGGCCGAGCAGGUGCAGCAUGGAACGGAAAUUACAUCUCUGAGAUAUACUGAGCUCCAGAGGAAGCAGUGCAGUUAGAGUGAUCCCAGGCACUGUGCUAGAAUCUGCAACCACUUACUUUCAGUUCUGUUUCACAACCAGAAGAAAACACUUGCUCCUAGUGAUCUUUUACCAUUUAUUUCCCA